Molecule: transfer RNA, 70 nt
Filed under: Camelus bactrianus (Bactrian camel)
Lineage: Eukaryota; Metazoa; Chordata; Mammalia; Artiodactyla; Camelidae
Also listed under: 1 other name
Rfam family: tRNA
About the family: Transfer RNA (tRNA) molecules are approximately 80 nucleotides in length. Their secondary structure includes four short double-helical elements and three loops (D, anti-codon, and T loops).
Source: Rfam by way of RNAcentral
AGGAACAUAGCUCAAGUGGUAGAGUGUGUGCUUAGCAUGCACGAGGUCCUGGGUUCAAUCCCAGUAUCUG